UGAUGGCCUACCAAGGCGACGACGGGUAGCCGGCCUGAGAGGGCGACCGGCCACACUGGGACUGAGACACGGCCCAGACUCCUACGGGAGGCAGCAGUGGGGAAUAUUGCGCAAUGGGCGAAAGCCUGACGCAGCGACGCCGCGUGGGGGAUGACGGCCUUCGGGUUGUAAACCUCUUUCGCCAUCGACGAAGCCUUUGGGUGACGGUAGGUGGAGAAGAAGCACCGGCCAACUACGCGCCAGCAGCCGCGGUAAUACGUAGGGUGCGAGCGUUGUCCGGAAUUAUUGGGCGUAAAGAGCUCGUAGGCGGCGUGUCACGUCGAUCGUGAAAACUUGGGGCUUAACUCUGAGCUUGCGGUCGAUACGGGCAUCACUGGAGUUCGGCAGGGGAGACUGGAAUUCCUGGUGUAGCGGUGAAAUGCGCAGAUAUCAGGAGGAACACCGGUGGCGAAGGCGGGUCUCUGGGCCGAUACUGACGCUGAGGAGCGAAAGCGUGGGGAGCGAACAGGAUUAGAUACCCUGGUAGUCCACGCCGUAAACGGUGGGCGCUAGGUGUGGGGGCCAUCCCACGGUCUCUGUGCCGCAGCUAACGCAUUAAGCG
This 601-nucleotide ribosomal RNA is filed under the name uncultured bacterium. RNAcentral describes it as "bacterial SSU rRNA". It matches the Rfam family "Bacterial small subunit ribosomal RNA", at positions 258 to 866 of the family's 1533-position model. The record is from RNAcentral.